CUGUAGCUGCUCAGGGCUGCACAUCCAGUGUCAAGCCACAUCACUGCCUUACUGAAGUGGCUUAUCAUCUCAGAGCCAAGAUGUGUCAUCUUAGACUGGAGAAGAAGUUCACCCUUGCUCUCUGUCCAGGUUUUUUGAAAUGAGUGGAGCCUACAUCAUAGAAUGGAUGAAUCAGGAGCCAUUAUGGCACACGGGAAGCAUGGUGGAUAAGGCAGCUCAACCCGUGAUGAUGCAGGGCAGGUAAGAUGUCUCAGGGUGAUGUGGAGUCUGACUCAGUCUCUAAAGUCAGGUCCUCAACAGGCCGCAGGGGUGGCAGAUACUGAUUGUCUGCUCAAAAACCAGGCCUUCUUCUUUGUUAACAGAAGAGAAAUUUUACAUGGAUGGCAGUGUGCUUAGAUCUAAGGGAUAAACUAUGAUUACUCUAAAAGAAAGAAGCACAAAUUAGCAUUAGAUUUUGCUAGAAAAAUAAACAUCAAAUGAUGCUGAGUUAAGGUUGCUUAAGCCUAGUGUCCCGUAAAGUCCCCACCUUGAGGAUAUGGGUAUCACUCAUUCGUUAGCAGCGAGAGGGGAAGUGUCCAUCACAGCGGGGGAAGCUUCCCCAAGCUAAGACCAGUGUCUGUUCUGUCGGCUCAUGCGAAUCAGUCCUAUACCUUCGUACCUUUUUUGUUGUUGCUACCAGAGGUGGUGGCUCUCUCAAAAAUUUUUCUUGGUGUAUAGAAAUGUCACUAAUUUUUAUAUGUCAAUCUCAGAGUGAGAAACCUUAAUAUCAUCUUAUGUUCUUUUUUUAAUCUCUUCUAUGUAGUUAAUCACAUCACCUGCAAAAAAUUAGAGUUUUGUUUCCUCCUUUCCAGUUGAUAGAGGGUGCCAUGGUAUGGAUAAUUGUUAACAAAUAUUUAUUCUUUCCCAUUCGAUGGACCAUGAGUAGGCUGACACUUACCAUGUCCAAGCAGAGGCUUUGAUCUGCUUGCAUUGCUGGGCUAAGCCUCUCAAGCUUGCACUGCUCAUGACUGAACUACAAGUCCCCACCAGUAGCAUAUCUGUCAGCCUAUGACCCAGACCGAAGAGGAGUAUGAAGCAGUUGUCCUGAACCAAUUUUCAGCCUGGAGUCAACCUCAGAUGAGCCCAGGCCACUGUAGCUGCCCACAGACUGGGAAAGAAAAAGAACAAUUUGUAGGAAGCCUCUGACACUUGGAGUUGUUUUGUAGUAUGAUUGUGGCACAAACUGACUAAUAUAUAUGCAUUAUUCAUUUUUCUUGACUGAAUAGGCUAGGUCUACAAUGUUGAAUGGAAGUGGUAACAUCUUCCUUUAGUUUUUAAAGGAAAUAUCUCUAAAAUUUUAGCAUUAAACACAUUUUUGUGUUAUAUGUUUUGUGGCAUUUCGUGGUCUUUUUAGUCUUAAUUUGCAAACAAGUUUUUAAGUGAAAUGGGGCUGAAUGUUAGAAAAUGCUUUUCUGCAUUUGUUGAUGUGAUCCUCUGGUUUUUCAUAAAUGUUAUGAAUUUUACUGACAUGUUUUCUAAUGUUAAGUACUCUUAUAUUCCUGGGAUACACCCAACUUGGUCACACUGUGCUUUCUUUUUUUUUUUUUUUUAGAUUACACAUGGCUCCAUUUUAUCUGCUUACAUUUUAUUCAGGAAUAUUGCAUUUAGGCUAAUGCAUGACAUUGACUUAUAAUUCCUUUCUUGCAUUUUCUUGCUUGUUUUUGCUCUUAUGUUUAAAGUAGCUUCCUGGAAUGAGUUCACAAAAGUUACCUCUUUUAUCAUAAAAAAUUAGAAAUAGCUGUUGUGUCAUAAGAACUUGCCUGUAACAACUGGGCCUUAUGUUUUCUUUGAGGAAUAUGUUGAAUUGUUGAUUUUUUUAUUUCAUUGUUAUAGGCUAAUCAAUGUUUUAAUUUCUUCCUAAGUCAGUUUUGUUGUUUUGCCCACUGAGAAAUGUACAAUGCAUUUCAAAUGUAUUGGCAUAAAGUUGUUAGGAGUACUCUCUGAUGCACUUUAAAGUUUCUGCUUUAUCUCUAACUAUGAACACAGGAACUGAAUACCUAUAAAGGCCAGUCUGUGGCCCUGAAUUCUCAGGGAAGCUUUUAUCUGUACUCAAGACAAUGCUUUGCUUCCAGACUCUAUGGGCAGUUUGGCUUCCU
Manis pentadactyla (Chinese pangolin) is the source of this 2135-nucleotide long non-coding RNA. RefSeq lists it as uncharacterized. The transcript is spliced from 3 exons. NCBI's taxonomy places the organism in Eukaryota, Metazoa, Chordata, Mammalia, Pholidota, Manidae. The record is from RefSeq and is a predicted model, not a curated record.